CACUCCUACGGGAGGCAGCAGUGGGGAAUAUUGCACAAUGGGCGCAAGCCUGAUGCAGCCAUGCCGCGUGUAUGAAGAAGGCCUUCGGGUUGUAAAGUACUUUCAGCAGGUGAGGAAGGUAGUGUAGUUAUAGCUGCAUUAUUUGACGGUACCAUCAGAAUAAGGACCGGCUAACUCCGUGCCAGCAGCCGCGGUAAUACGGAGGGUCCAAGCGUUAUCCGGAAUCACUGGGUUUAAAGGGUGCGUAGGCGGAUAACUAAGUCUAAGGUGAAAGUCUGUGGCUUAACUAUAGAAUUGCCUUGGAUACUGGUUAUCUUGAAUUGGGGUUGAGGAUGGCGGAAUGUGACAUGUAGCGGUGAAAUGCAUAGAUAUGUCAUAGAACACCGAUUGCGAAGGCAGCCAUCUGGGCCUUGAUUGACGCUGAGGCACGAAAGCGUGGGGAGCGAACAGGAUUAGAUACCCUGGUAG
RNAcentral lists this ribosomal RNA (468 nucleotides) under uncultured bacterium. RNAcentral's name for it is "bacterial SSU rRNA". It matches the Rfam family "Bacterial small subunit ribosomal RNA", at positions 334 to 793 of the family's 1533-position model. The record is from RNAcentral.